This 474-nucleotide ribosomal RNA is filed under the name uncultured bacterium. RNAcentral describes it as "bacterial SSU rRNA". It matches the Rfam family "Bacterial small subunit ribosomal RNA", at positions 32 to 507 of the family's 1533-position model. The record is from RNAcentral.
GACAACGCUGGCGGCGUGCCUAACACAUGCAAGUCGAGCGGGGUUGAAGCGAGGGGUAACUCGAGUUUCUACCUAGCGGCGGACGGGUGAGUAACGCGUGGGCAACCUGCCUCAAGGACUGGGAUAACAGCUCGAAAGGGCUGCUAAUACCGGAUAUGCCUGUGGCCUCGCAUGGGGCUAUGAGCAAAGGGGAAACCCGCCUUGAGAUGGGCCCGCGUCCCAUCAGCUAGUUGGUGAGGUGAAGGCUCACCAAGGCGACGACGGGUAGCCGGCCUGAGAGGGUGACCGGCCACACUGGGACUGAGACACGGCCCAGACUCCUACGGGGGGCAGCAGUGGGGAAUCUUGCACAAUGGGCGAAAGCCUGAUGCAGCGACGCCGCGUGAGCGAAGAAGGCCUUCGGGUUGUAAAGCUCUGUCUGGAGGGACGAAGGAAGUGACGGUACCUCCGGAGGAAGCCACGGCUAACUACGUG